GUCGGGAUGCCGGAGUGGUUAACGGGUAUGACUCGAAUUAUCUCUCUGUUCCGUUCAGAGAGAGCUGAUACAGUUCGUCAUCAUAUGGCUUCUGCCGCACAGGUUCGAAUCCUGUUUCCGACG
Peziza echinospora is the source of this 123-nucleotide non-coding RNA. NCBI's taxonomy places the organism in Eukaryota, Fungi, Ascomycota, Pezizomycetes, Pezizales, Pezizaceae. The record is from the annotation of a GenBank genome assembly.